AAAAUCCGGGCCUCAUAAACUCUGAGACGUGAUACCGAGCCGCUUCAGGCGAAGUCAUUGAUCCUAUGCUGCCUAGAAAAGCCCAGCAGCGAGUUGACAUGGUGCCCGUACCCCAAACCAACACAGGUGGACAGGUAGAGCAUACCAAGGCGAGUGGGAUAACUAUGGUUAAGGAACUCGGCAAAUUGCCUCCGUAACUUCGGGAGAAGGAGGACCCCAGUAGCGUGAUGAGACUUGCUCUCUGAGCGUGAAGGGGUGGCACAAAAUUGAGGGAAGCGACUGUUUACCAAAAACACAGCAGCGUGCUAAGCCGUAAGGCGCUGUAUACGCUGUGACUCCUGCCCGGUGCUGGAAGGUUACGGGGAUGGGUUAGUCCUUCGGGACGAAGCUCUGAACCUAAGCCCCAGUAAACGGCGGCCGUAACUAUAACGGUCCUAAGGUAGCGAAAUUUCCUUGUCGGGUAAGUUCCGACCUGCACGAAUGGAGUAACGACUUCCCUACUGUCUCAACCAUAGACCCAGCGAAAUUGAAGUACGAGUAAAGAUGCUCGUUAGCUGCAGAAGGACGGAAAGACCCCGUGGACCUUUACUAUAACUUGAUGUUGUGUUUUGUCAUAUGUUGUGUAGGAUAGGUGGGAGACUUGGAAGCAUGGACGCUAGUCUGUGUGGAGUCAUCGUUGAAAUACCACCCUGCAUAUGGUGAGGCUCUAACCUAGACCCGUUAUCCGGGUUGGGGACAGCGUCAGGCGGGUAGUUUAACUGGGGCGGUUGCCUCCUAAAGAGUAACGGAGGCGCCCAAGGGUUCCCUCAGCCUGGUUGGCAAUCAGGCGUUGAGUGCAAUGGCAAAAGGGAGCUUGACUGCGAGACCUACAAGUCGAGCAGGAGCGAAAGCUGGGCAUAGUGAUCCGGCGGUUGCGUGUGGAAGCGCCGUCGCUCAACGGAUAAAAGGUACCCCGGGGAUAACAGGCUAAUCUUGCCCAAGCGUCCAUAGCGACGGCAAGGUUUGGCACCUCGAUGUCGGCUCAUCGCAUCCUGGGGCUGAAGCAGGUCCCAAGGGUUGGGCUGUUCGCCCAUUAAAGCGGUACGCGAGCUGGGUUCAGAACGUCGUGAGACAGUUCGGUCCCUAUCCUCUGCAGCCGGAGGUGAAUUGAGGAAAGCUGUCCCUAGUACGAGAGGACCGGGACGGACGCAGCUCUCGUGUGCCAGUUGUCCUGCCAAGGGCAUGGCUGGUUAGCGACCUGCGGAAAGGAUAACCGCUGAAAGCAUCUAAGCGGGAAGCCUCUUCCAAGAUGAAUUCACCCACAGGGUUAACCUGGUAAGGCCCGUGGUAGACCACCACGUUGAUAGGCCGGAAGUGUAAGCGUGGCAACACGUUCAGCUGACCGGUACUAAUCGGCCGAGGGCUUGAGUCC
This 1411-nucleotide ribosomal RNA is filed under the name metagenome. RNAcentral describes it as "bacterial LSU rRNA". It matches the Rfam family "Bacterial large subunit ribosomal RNA", at positions 1537 to 2925 of the family's 2925-position model. The record is from RNAcentral.